This 64-nucleotide transfer RNA is filed under the name Brachyrhynchus hsiaoi. Its description in RNAcentral is "tRNA-Asp". The record is from RNAcentral. Lineage: Eukaryota; Metazoa; Arthropoda; Insecta; Hemiptera; Aradidae.
AGUUAAUUAGUUUACAACAAAACAUAAUCUUGUCAAGAUUAAAACAUUAAUUUAGUAUUAACUA